Molecule: ribosomal RNA, 500 nt
Filed under: Pseudomonas fluorescens
Lineage: Bacteria; Pseudomonadati; Pseudomonadota; Gammaproteobacteria; Pseudomonadales; Pseudomonadaceae
Description: bacterial SSU rRNA
Rfam family: Bacterial small subunit ribosomal RNA
Source: RNAcentral
GGAAACGGACGCUAAUACCGCAUACGUCCUACGGGAGAAAGCAGGGGACCUUCGGGCCUUGCGCUAUCAGAUGAGCCUAGGUCGGAUUAGCUAGUUGGUGAGGUAAUGGCUCACCAAGGCGACGAUCCGUAACUGGUCUGAGAGGAUGAUCAGUCACACUGGAACUGAGACACGGUCCAGACUCCUACGGGAGGCAGCAGUGGGGAAUAUUGGACAAUGGGCGAAAGCCUGAUCCAGCCAUGCCGCGUGUGUGAAGAAGGUCUUCGGAUUGUAAAGCACUUUAAGUUGGGAGGAAGGGCAGUUACCUAAUACGUAAUUGUUUUGACGUUACCGACAGAAUAAGCACCGGCUAACUCUGUGCCAGCAGCCGCGGUAAUACAGAGGGUGCAAGCGUUAAUCGGAAUUACUGGGCGUAAAGCGCGCGUAGGUGGUUCGUUAAGUUGGAUGUGAAAGCCCCGGGCUCAACCUGGGAACUGCAUUCAAAACUGUCGAGCUAGAGU